This 497-nucleotide ribosomal RNA is filed under the name uncultured bacterium. RNAcentral describes it as "partial 16S ribosomal RNA". It matches the Rfam family "Bacterial small subunit ribosomal RNA", at positions 28 to 507 of the family's 1533-position model. The record is from RNAcentral.
GAUGAACGCUGGCGGCGUGCCUAAUACAUGCAAGUCGAGCGAACGGACGAGACGCUUGCUUUUCUGAUGUUAGCGGCGGACGGGUGAGUAACACGUGGAUAACCUACCUAUAAGACUGGGAUAACUUCGGGACACCGGAGCUAAUACCGGAUAAUAUUUUGAACCGCAUGGUUCAAAGGUGAAAUACGGUCUUGCUGUCACUUAUAGAUGGAUCCGCGCUGCAUUAGCUAGUAGGUAAGGUAACGGCUUACCACGGGAACGAUGCAUAGCCGACCUGAGAGGGUGAUAGGCCACCCUGGAGCUGGGCCACGGUCCAGGGUCCUGCGGGAGGCAGCAGUAGGGAAUCUUACGCAGUAGGCGAAAGCAUGACGGAGCAACGCCAAGCGAGAGAUGAAGGUCUUCGGUUCGUAAAGCUGUCUUAUUAGGGAAGAACAUAUGUGGAAGUAAAUGUGCACAUAGUGACGGUACCUAAUCAGAAAGCCACGGCUAACUACGUG